RNAcentral lists this transfer RNA (61 nucleotides) under Arcoscalpellum epeeum. RNAcentral describes it as "tRNA-Glu". Lineage: Eukaryota; Metazoa; Arthropoda; Thecostraca; Scalpellidae. The record is from RNAcentral.
AUCUUUAUAGUGUAAUUAACAUAUAUCACUUUCGUUGAUAAGAAGAAAAUUUCUUAAGAUA